This 465-nucleotide ribosomal RNA is filed under the name uncultured Pasteurellaceae bacterium. RNAcentral's name for it is "bacterial SSU rRNA". It matches the Rfam family "Bacterial small subunit ribosomal RNA", at positions 338 to 795 of the family's 1533-position model. The record is from RNAcentral. Lineage: Bacteria; Pseudomonadati; Pseudomonadota; Gammaproteobacteria; Pasteurellales; Pasteurellaceae.
CCUACGGGAGGCAGCAGUGGGGAAUAUUGCGCAAUGGGGGCAACCCUGACGCAGCCAUGCCGCGUGAAUGAAGAAGGCCUUCGGGUUGUAAAGUUCUUUCGGUGUUGAGGAAGGAUGUUGUGUUAAUAGCGCAACAAAUUGACGUUAAACACAGAAGAAGCACCGGCUAACUCCGUGCCAGCAGCCGCGGUAAUACGGAGGGUGCGAGCGUUAAUCGGAAUAACUGGGCGUAAAGGGCACGCAGGCGGAUUUUUAAGUGAGGUGUGAAAGCCCCGGGCUUAACCUGGGAAUUGCAUUUCAGACUGGGAAUCUAGAGUACUUUAGGGAGGGGUAGAAUUCCACGUGUAGCGGUGAAAUGCGUAGAGAUGUGGAGGAAUACCGAAGGCGAAGGCAGCCCCUUGGGAAUGUACUGACGCUCAUGUGCGAAAGCGUGGGGAGCAAACAGGAUUAGAUACCCGUGUAGUC